Felis catus (domestic cat) is the source of this 1705-nucleotide long non-coding RNA. RefSeq lists it as uncharacterized. The record is from RefSeq and is a predicted model, not a curated record. The transcript has 3 exons. Lineage: Eukaryota; Metazoa; Chordata; Mammalia; Carnivora; Felidae.
UUUGGGAGUAGCGCAGACAUAGAAUUAGGUGAAAUCGUUGAAAUAGCCACUUCGUAGAUGAAAAGAUUGAAUAUCAGAUGUUUCUUAUGAUUCAACCAAUAUUUAAGUCUAAGUGACAGCGAUGACAAAGAGAGUUAGUGUGAUAGAGAAGAGGUUCAAGGACUGAACUCAGGCUUACUCCAUCUAUUAGGCAUUAGGAAGAAGAGGAAGACCCAGCAAAGGAGUAUCCUGGGAUGUAGGAAGAACGCCAGGAGCUUGCGAUCCCUGGAAACCAAAUAAAGAAUGUGCUUCAAGUGUCUGUUUCCUUCUGGACUUCCUUAGGGGAAAGGAGGGCUGGAACUGACGUGCCUGCUUCCCUCACCCGCAGGGGGAUCUCCCCCGGGCCACUUUGUGUCGUUCGUGCAUUCGUCGGUCACUCCUCAGGCAUGGAUGGAGCCCAAUGCUUGCCCAGCACUGAGUUGGAUUGCAUGCGAGUCAGAGGCACUACGUGCAGCACCUCACCUGCGUUAUGUCAUUGAAUUGUCACAAAAAUCCCUUGGAGGUAAAUAUUAUUAUCUUCAUUUGCAUUUAAGGAAACUAACAGUCGAGAAACUUGAAGUCAAACCCUGGCUGCUGAGGUCGCACAGGUGGUAUUUCAGAGGCGUCUGUUGCCCAUCCUACUUUCUCUUAGUCCAGUACCUCUCACGAUGUGGUCUUUGAACCACCGAAAUCAGAAAAUCGUGGGACUUUCUAACCUUCAGAUCCCUGGACUCUCUCUUAGACUCAGGGGAUGGAAAUCCCUGGGAAGUGGUCCUGGAACCUGCAUUGUAAACCACAUUUUGGACCUUGGGGAGGGAGUGUGUGGUUAACCCUAGGAACAGAACCGGCCCCUCCGUGUGGAGGCUGACCUGUGUUUUAGUCAUCGACUGAGUUCACGCUCUUUACUUAAUCUCUCUUGGCUUCCAUUUCCUCAUUUGUAAACCAGGGUCUCCUGGUGGUUGUGAGGCUCGAAGAUGAUGUGCAGAAAGUAGAAUAAAAUGUUAGACGUAGAAAGCUCCGUGCAAAUGCAUGGGGGUAUUAAUCGUGGGCUUGCCUGGGGACCGGGGGCAGGGGGGCAACCAGGGUACUGUGCACAGUGCUGGGCGCUUUGUGUGGAGAUGGGGAAGGGAGAGCAGAGAACCUCCGGGAGCAGGAUACCUUGGGGGUCUGUCCAGCCUUCUUAGGAGGAGCCACGUCCACCCCAACUCAAAGGAGAUCACUCCUUUUCUUUCAAGGGGGGGGCCCACUUUCUCUCUGGCCCCGGCCCUCACUUACCAAGCUAUUUCACAUGGGACCGAAGUGUGCUUUCUGCCUCAAUUUCCCCAACUGUUCAGGGAAGAAAAAAGCACCCGCUCCCCCAUGGCCACGCUCGCUGUCGGUUGCUGUUUCCUUAGGCCAGAAUUACUCAACAUUCUCUGUGUGCCAGGGUCAUGAUCGUUCGUUUAACUCACACAACAGGGUUACGACGUCUGUAGUUCAGUCAGACCCAUUUUAUAGACGAGGGGACAGACUCGGGGAGUUGAAGUGAUGUGCCCAAGCCAGUAAGUGAUGGAACUUCGAGACUCGAGUUCUUCCCCUCCACACCACACCCCUGGGAGAGGGCUUGGGGAAGGGCUGGGACUGAGAGUGCGCUAAGCUUUGAGCUGCUCUGAGGCUUCUGAAGGAACAUCCAUGUUUGAAAGCAAAA